AAGAAAUCAAGCUCUGCUUCCGUGUUGCUCUUGUAUUGCUUUUUCUUUCUACGUUUUUUUUUGUCUGAUUUAUCAUAAUCUUCUUCAACAUCUUUUUCUUGGUUUGAGAGAACGGAUUUAAAAUUUCCUUGUUUUUGUGCAUAGGUAAAUGAAAAUUCAUUAUUUAUGAAUAAUUUUAUAAAAAAUUUAAUAAUUUAUUAAAACAAAAAAAGAAAUACAUAGAAUUAGAAUAAUUAGAAUAAUAUAAAUAUGAUAGAAUAGAAUAAAUGGAAAAGGAGUCAAAGCGAUUUGAUUAUUAUUAUAUAUAUUUUACUUUAUUCUCUUUAUUCUUUAUUUAUUAUUUACUUUUUUAUUUACUUUACCACUCUCAGUCUUAGGAAAAAGACACAUUAUUCAGAAUAGAAAAAAGGCUAUUGAAAACAAAAAAGAAAUCUACGCUUGUUGAAGGUGAAGUUUAUAAAUAAAGCAAUUCCUUCUGUCGUGUAUCCCCGAUUAAUGCAACCAACUAAAGCAAACUAAAACAAUAAAAUAAAGAAUAUCCAAAUACAACUAAAAAUAAAAAUAUAGUUUUUUUCCUAAUUAUUGUAUUCUUUGUUGAUUGGAACUGGUCGCUUCCAGUUGCUUGGUUAAAAUCAUUCCCAUAAGCUCGCUCACAGGGAGAUCACUCAGAGUAUAACCCUGAAAACAAAAGCGCAUUUCAACGGAUCCAAUCGCUCUUUUUUUUUCUUGGAUAAGAAUAAAAUAAACAAAACCCCAUUUUCUUAAUUAAUCAUCGCGGGUAGAUUGAUUUUUGAUUGAUUCUAUAUAAAUAGAUAUAAAAUAAAAAAUUUCUAUUUAUUCUAAAUCUAUAAUUUCGAAUUUAUAUUUAGAAUAAAUAGAAUUUCGAAUUAAAAGUUUUUUUAUUUCUAAAAUUCUAAUAAAUAUUAGAUAUUAGUUAGAUAUUAGAAUUCCUUUUAUUUAGAAAAAUCUGAAAUGAAGUGAAAACGAAAAAGUAUUACUUGUUUUGGAUUUGUAUAGUAUUAUACUAUAUAUAGUAUAAACAUAUUCUUCAGCCUCCUUAACACCGUGGCCCAGUCAUCAACGCUUACACUGAUAGGUCAGGUGUCCCCAUAGGGCAUCACGACUAUGUUACACAUGCGGAUGAUCAAGCGCCAACGUGGGACCGGCCCUUCUCAGUACCGUCUCUCUCAUGCCAUUGACGAGGAGGAUCUUGAGGACAUUCCUGAUGAUGUUCCCCCACAGCACGAGGAACCUUCAACCGCCCCACCUAGGGAACGACUAGUUCCUGCGGCUGCUUUAUUGGCACAUCUUUCUGACCGACUCGCCCACUUCGAGCAGUACUGCACUACGCAGUUUGAGAUGAUAUGCAGGCCAUAAUGCAGCAGCUGUGCCAACACUUCCACAUCACACCUCCAGCACCACCACCUGAGGUCCCCACCGACGAGGAUCAUUGAAUCCUCCUAUUUUAUUUUUAUUUUUAUUUAUUCUUAUUCUUAUUCUUAUUUUAUUUAUUUUAUUCUUAUUUUUCUUUUGAUUUUUAUUUUCAUUUCAAUUUUCUUAUUUUGAAUGACAUAUCUAUAUUAGUAAAUUUUUCUUUUCCAUUUUCUAGUAUUUCUAACAAGUACUUCCACUACACUCCCUUCCACACCAAAUCUUAAUAAGCUCUUCAUGAUUCUACAGACUUCCAAGUAAAGCUUCUAGGAAUAUUUUACGCAAUGAGGAAACAAAUAGGGAACAAUACCUAACGAGUGCGGUGUUCAACGACCCAAUUUCUUCAUCUGGCCAAAAACAGUGACCGCUACCAUUUUCCCCAAACACUCCAGCCUCAAAAUCAAGCUCUGCAUCCUUCUAACAGGGAGUUUCACCUCUUUCCCUCUUAUGAUUUUCUUUAUGUUGACUAGUCUAUCUUUGUACAUUGAGGGAAAUGUAUAUCUUAAGUGUGGGGGUGAACAUGGAACCUAACUUUUUGCAUUAUUCUCAAAUCCCUGAGUUUGGUCUUGUGCUUAAGUGAUUUUCUCAUAAUAUUGAUAGAAUGAAUUCUGAUUGAUCUAUAACUAUUGUUGGUAUAUCAUGAAUUAGACCAUGGGAAUUAUGCAUGAUUAUUUGAUUAUAGGACAUUAAAGAAUCAAGCAUGAUAAGUUGAUAUUUUAAGAACUAAAAUUUUUAGAUUAUUUUCCUAAAUUGAGAUAUUAUCUUGAAAUCUUAAGUAUACAGGAAUGACAUCAAAAACCCAAAUUUUUGGUGAGAUUUUUGAGCCUUUUGAGCAUAUAGCUUUCUUUUUUGCUCACUUCUUUUGUGAUUUGAGUGUGUCAACAUUGAACUGUUAUUCUAGAACUUGCGUCGAUUAUACAUGUCAAGAUCACACAUAUGAUUUGAUAUACUGAGAUGAUAAAGGCAGUUACAAUUUAACCCAUUGACUCCAUAAAAAGCCUUCCCACAUAAUUAAACCCUUAGUGAACCCCUUUUGAACCUAUUAACCUUUUUCUUUGAUUAACCCUCAUCAUUAACCCAUUAACCCAUUAUUGUUGAAAUCCUCUUACUUAUUUUGACCCUUUUUAUUGAGAUUGAAUUUAAUAUUGUUACAUCACUAUGUUCACUAUUUUUUAUUACUGAAUCAUGAAGUCUGAUUUUCAUAUUGUAUUAACUUGAUUUGUUCUAAAAAAAUGUGUGUAAUUCUCAGUAAGUUAAAGUUGUCAUGAACUCAUGUAAAAUAGUUCUAGCUAUUUGUUUGUGAUUCAGUAAUUAAGUUUUUGAUAGUGGGGUAACAUAUUGAAAUUAUCUCGAUUCUAAACCCUGUUCUUUGACCUAUAUCCAUACCUGUAACCUAAACCUAUUACAACCAUGAAAAGACCUUUUGAUUAGUGUAUCAUAUCAUUUACAAGUGGUGGAGAUUUGAUUUUUAGGCAAGCCUAUGGUAAUAACUUUUCAUGUUAGACAAUCAAGUGCUUAAUCUUGACCCUUAAACACUUUGAGUGAUUUGAGUGAAUCUUUAGUGAGGAUGUCAUCUCUUGUGUAUUUAAGACUAAAGUUAAUUACUUAAAGGAAGGAGCUUACCUAUAAUUUUAUUAUCAAAAUAUCUGAUUUAGAUUGUUUGAGGCUUUAAUGCCCCUAUAGUUAAAUUCUCACUAUAUAAUUUUUCGUGGAAUAGUUUGUAACAUUAUCAAUACUGAUUAUGUGAUUGAAAAGAAUGAAUUCUAGCAGGAAGUGAGAAUUUUUCUUGAGGACAAGCAAAUGCUUAAGUGUGGGGGUAUUUGAUAAACGCCAAAUGAUACAUGUUUUUACCCCAAAUACUUAGCAUAUUUAUGGAUGUUUACUGCUAGAUUUGUGGAUUUUAGUGCUUUUAAUCUAGUUAUUUCGUGUUUUGUACCCAGGAGAGCACCAAGAGUCAAAAGGAGCCAAAAACGAGCUAAAUAAGGGACAAAACGGACCAAAUUGAGAAGACCCAUACGGCCUAAGCCUUGCCACACGGGCAACUCACAUGCCCGUCCCUUUCGAGGGUGUCAACCAAGGUUUACAUGACUUACACGGCCUGGCCAUUGAGCCCACACGGCCGUGGCAAUUUAACGGAUCGUACACGGCCUGGUAACCACGUCACACAGCCAUGGCACACGAACCUGUCCCUUUUUCAAGGAGUUGUAUUCUACACGAAAAAAGGAUACUUAGGGGGGAAGAAAGCCAAUCAAAAGCCUAUAUAGAUAGCCUAAGUAUGACCUAGAAAGGGGGGAUCUCCAGAACUUUUCUAGAACACAGAACCACAUGCCGGGAAUUACUUGAAGGAAGCCAUACGAUCCAUCUCAAAAGCCAGAGCUACUCCAAGACUGAAGAUCUCUCUCAGAAUUCCUUCAGGGGUUUUAGAGUUUUCUUUAUGUUUUGUUAUUUUCAUACUUUUGAGAUGUACUUUUAUUUUAUUAUAAACUAAACCCCUUAGAUACCUAAGAGGGAUAAAACCUAUGAUGGAUCUUGUUAUUAUUAUCUGAACUGUAUGAUAAAUACUUGAUUUGUUCUUAAUUAUGUGUUCUUAAUGCUUGAGUUAAUAAUCUGGGUAUUAAUUCAUGAUUUGAUGUGUUAUGCAGGAGGAAUAGACCCUGCCUAAGAGUAGAUUUGGCAUAAUUAAGCGGAGUUGAUCGAACGCCUAAAAAUAGGGUUACGAGAUUUUGUCAGAUUAGGAUGAAACCUAAUAAGGGGAUCCAUAGAUCGAGUUAAUGCAACCCUAGAGUGUUAAUUAGAGAAAAGUCUUGGUUAUUCAAUCUAGGGAUUAGAUGUUAUUUGUCUUGAAUAGGGAUAAUAACUUAACUUAGGGAUCUCUGCGGAACAAGUCAAGUGAAUAAAUUGUCCGGUUCAGAGUCAGAUAACAAGUGAAAUCUAGGUGGAUUCCUCAUUGGGUGUCAUCUUUAUUAAUUGUUUCUCUUCAAGUCUUUUUCCAAAUUCUCUCUUCGCUUUAAUUAAAUUAGUUAAUUGGUUUAGAUAAUUAGUUUAAUAAACAAACCCUUUUAUUCUUAGGCUAGAUAAUAAAAAGAUAGUUAUUACUAGUACUUUUGGUUCCCUUGGGUACGAUAUCCCGAUCUUGCCAUUAUUAUACUAUUGUUCAAUAGGUGCGCUUGCCUUUUCGUCGUGAUAAUAGUUAGUCUAGGUUUGAUCUUCAUUAUAAAUAUUUAUUACUUGUUACGAAUCACUGCGAUCAGUUUUGUUCUCUUCAUUUAGUACACGAGUCUCAUGAACUAUUCCUAAUUAGUUUUAUAUUUCUAUGCUAUUUUUGGGACGUAUUGGUUGAACUUCGACUUUUCAAUGUAGGUACAAUGUCAUCCUCACGUGGUAAGAAGACCGAUGUUCCCGCCUCGAAAAAAAGCGCUUCUCAGAAGGCAACCCGAGCACUAACAUAUUUUGAUUUCUUUAUUUUUUAAUUUCUAACACUUUGAAUCAUUAACUUAAUCUUUGAAUUGCACAGUUUUUUAGAACAGACGGCCAGGCACACGGGUGUGCCUAAGCUGUGGCCAAACAGGGGAAGAGACACGGCCGUGCGGGACGGCCAUGUUGAAGCAGGUCAUGAUUUCCCCAAAACACGGGGUGCGAUAAAUCCCCACGGCCGUGCGACAUGGCCGUGGGUGAACUUGAUAGGAAGAACACAGGCGUGGGAUAGAAAACCACGGGCGUGCCUGGGACAAGGCUCUAUUCUAUUUCUUCGACACGGGCGUGCGACACGCCCGUGCCAUUAAACUGUGGACAACAAUACACGGGCGUGCUACCAUAAAACACGGGCGUGAGAGAAGCGAACAAAGCUAGGCACGACCGUACGACAUGGCUGUGUGCCACACAUGCCCAAGACACACAGGCGUGUGAUAGUAGCCGGGCAUGACCACAUUUGAAAAAAAUUUAAAAAACAUGGGCUACCCUCAUAGCACACGAGCGUGGCCCUAGGCCGUGUGCCCCUCCCCUAUAUAAACAAACCACUGUUCAUAUUCUUCCUUCUUUCAAAACCCUAGCCGGAAUCUACCCUCCCCCAACCCCUACUCCCUAUUCCGGCCACCAUUCCCUAGAUUCUUACUUCCCUAACCCUCAAACCACCCUCAAAGUCACUCCACUUACAUUAAUCCCCAUUUUACCCUCCAUUUUCCCACCACACAGUUUCCUCUCCGCGUCACACGCCCGUGCUCGCCAUCACACGCUUGUGCACUGCCUUACAACAACCCUUGGUUCACUUUCUUAACCUUGUUUUUCCAAUUUGUGUUGUUACAUAAGUAUUUUUUAUGCUUUACAUAGAUAUUGUUACUAUUAAAAAUAUGUUUUAGACAAGUUAAUAAUUUUCUUUAGAAUUUUCUAUAUUUGAUUUAUUUAAAAAACUAAAUAGCAUAUACUAGUUUUUGGGCCUAUUGCUUAACUACUAAUGUAUCUUGGAUUCUAUCAAUGCUCAUAUAUUUUCAGGUAUAUUAUGUCGUCAUCAAGGGGCAAGAAAGCCGUGGUCCCUUCCUCAAAAAGACGUAGGGGACCAGGUUCUUCCUUGGUACGAGCUACAGCCGAAGUUCGACACCCGUUCCUUGAAUUUCCACAAGCUUCGCAGGAGGAGCUAUUUCAAAUACCAUGCACACGACCUAUCACCACAGGUCGCUGCAUCAAUUGGGCUGCCGUAGAGCAAGUCUAGCUGGCUGAUGCCAUCCGCACCCUCCUGUCUGCAGACCCAUAGGAACGAUUCUUCGCUAUUACCGAGCCCACUUAUUUAGAGCUAACUCUAGAACUAUGCUUUACUUUUCAUUUACAGAUGGUGAUGAUGAACAAUGACGACCCAGGCACCAUUCACUUCCGAUUAGGCAGUCUAGUUAGUGCGAUGAGUGUCCCAGAGUUUCGAGUUGCUCUGGGACUCUACACCGAUGAAUUUAUGGAGGAGAAGGAGGACAUGAAUGCACUACCACGCAAUCUCCACAUCUCCCUCUCCUUAUGCUGGAAGGCUUUGGCACCACUCUCUUCUAUCUACGACCCUAGCCGCUCGUAGGCCUCAUCCUUCGCUCCUUCCCUACGCUACCUCCAUGUCAUCUUGGCACACAUAUUGACCGGGAGGAGAGAGAGCACCGACGAUUUCACCACCUACGACACCUACUAUUUAUGGUGCAUGGUGAAUGUACACGUGACUGACUUGGCCUACUUUAUUACUUUCACCAUUCGCCAUCAGACUGAGCGGCAUAGGAAGGGAGUGAUCUCCAUCGGCCUCUUCGUGGCGUGCCUAUUUUCUCCUUCUAUUUCUAUUAAAACUAAAACUAAUAAAAACCCCUCAAAUGACUAACUAUCGAUACUGGAGUAUCCCGUAGUAAUGAAUGUGCACGUGAUUUGGGAUAGAGUAAUAUUGUUUGUUCUAUCUAUGUAAGACAAAAAAAACUCCACCUCGGAACUUCUAAUUGAGAUAUGAAUACACUACACCGGUUGCACAAAAAAAUGGGUUUUGAUGAUAAUGAUGAUGGGGAAAUACCAAUUCAAAUUGACUGCAUUCAAAAAGAUGUUACGGCAUGGAUCGAAAUUAUAAAUUCUUCCAUUUUCAGCUAUUAAAUAAUAGUUAAGUACUUGAAAAGCCUGUUUUAAAUUGUCAAGCUCAAAAUAUUUCGCUACCGAGGUCUGAUUAUGAGUUAUUAAAGGGUAAAAUGAUGAAUAAAAAUUCGCAGGAAGAAAUCAAGCUCUGCUUCCGUGUUGCUCUUGUAUUGCUUUUUCUUUCUACGUUUUUUUUGUCUGAUUUAUCAUAAUCUUCUUCAACAUCUUUUUCUUGGUUUGAGAGAACGGAUUUAAAAUUUCCUUGUUUUUGUGCAUAGGUAAAUGAAAAUUCAUUAUUUAUGAAUAAUUUUAUAAAAAAUUUAAUAAUUUAUUAAAACAAAAAAAGAAAUACAUAGAAUUAGAAUAAUUAGAAUAAUAUAAAUAUGAUAGAAUAGAAUAAAUGGAAAAGGAGUCAAAGCGAUUUGAUUAUUAUUAUAUAUAUUUUACUUUAUUCUCUUUAUUCUUUAUUUAUUAUUUACUUUUUUAUUUACUUUACCACUCUCAGUCUUAGGAAAAAGACACAUUAUUCAGAAUAGAAAAAAGGCUAUUGAAAACAAAAAAGAAAUCUACGCUUGUUGAAGGUGAAGUUUAUAAAUAAAGCAAUUCCUUCUGUCGUGUAUCCCCGAUUAAUGCAACCAACUAAAGCAAACUAAAACAAUAAAAUAAAGAAUAUCCAAAUACAACUAAAAAUAAAAAUAUAGUUUUUUUCCUAAUUAUUGUAUUCUUUGUUGAUUGGAACUGGUCGCUUCCAGUUGCUUGGUUAAAAUCAUUCCCAUAAGCUCGCUCACAGGGAGAUCACUCAGAGUAUAACCCUGAAAACAAAAGCGCAUUUCAACGGAUCCAAUCGCUCUUUUUUUUUCUUGGAUAAGAAUAAAAUAAACAAAACCCCAUUUUCUUAAUUAAUCCUCGCGGGUAGAUUGAUUUUUGAUUGAUUCUAUAUAAAUAGAUAUAAAAU
RNAcentral lists this long non-coding RNA (7966 nucleotides) under Gossypium barbadense (sea-island cotton). Its description in RNAcentral is "long non-coding RNA (GBAR_LNC000187)". Lineage: Eukaryota; Viridiplantae; Streptophyta; Magnoliopsida; Malvales; Malvaceae. The record is from RNAcentral.